Long non-coding RNA from Apus apus (common swift), 1093 nucleotides. RefSeq lists it as uncharacterized. The record is from RefSeq and is a predicted model, not a curated record. Lineage: Eukaryota; Metazoa; Chordata; Aves; Apodiformes; Apodidae. The transcript is spliced from 2 exons.
GAAGGAAAAGUCCAGGGUUUUUACAGGAGCAGUAUUGUUAUGAUAUCUUCGUAAACAUCUGCACCCCUUUUAAUCGUGAGGUGAAACACUGUCUCUGGGGGACAGAGGCUGGGGGCUGCUGCAGGCAUUUGUUAUUCCCUCAAAAUCUAUACGGAUAGGUGUGUGUGUGUAAACAGGUGACUUUAAAUGUCCGUGGCGUGUGUGAGGAGAAGGCAAAGCAAGUGAUGUUUGUGUUGGGUGCUGGCAGCUGGAGUUCGGCGCAUGCGCAAUGAGGCGCUGCCUGGGCUGGGCAUUGGUGGGUGUGGUUUUGCGGCUUGGCUGCCCUUUGUGGGCGUGGCCAGGGCCGUGCUCUGCUGCCCGCUGAUUGGUGAAGAGCGGGCUGGGCGGGUCCCGUGGUCCCGCACAGGGCGGAGCCGGUGCGGCCACACGGUGCGAGGCGGAAGUCGCGGCCGAGGGUCCGUGGGACGGUGAUGAAGAUCAAAGAAGAGACGUGAACAAAAGGAGAAAAUGGCAUCACUUGUGUGUUUUCCAAGCUUUCCCAAGGAGCAUUAGCAGCCUUGCGACCAAUGACAGCAACUCCUGAUGUUUUUAGUGAUGUAUUGCUUCAAUAGUGUCCUUUUUUUUUAACCUACGGUAUGUGCUUUUGAAUAUGGCUGGAAGGAUUUUCCAGAGCGGGAGUCCUUUUCUUUCAAAGAAGUUGCAUUUUAGGAACUUUCCAUCAGUGCACAUCUUUGGACAUGAGGUGCUUGGUACUAUUAAUCAUCAGCAAUCAGAGUUUUCACCCUGAAAACAAAAAGAGUUAAUUUCCUUCCAAAGAUGCAAGCAUAGCAUGUCUUCUAAAAGUUGAUGAUGUCACUCAUCAUCAACUUCUCAGUGGCUGUAGUUGAGACAUGGUUAAAAAGGUCGUCUUCUGCACACUUCAGUGCAUCCAAAAGCAUUAGCAAACUGGUCAGUUGUUUUUGCUAACCUUAUGUAUUGUAGCACUGGGGAUUCUUUCUUUUUUCCCCAAAAGCAAAAAUAUACAAGGAAUCUCUUAUCUUUCUGUUUUUUCUGUUAUAAACGAAACUCGAAAAUAAAAGUUUAAAUGGUGUAA